UGGGGAAUAUUGGACAAUGGGCGGAAGCCUGAUCCAGCCAUGCCGCGUGUGUGAAGAAGGCCUUUUGGUUGUAAAGCACUUUAAGCGAGGAGGAGGCUACUUGGAUUAAUACUCUAGGAUAGUGGACGUUACUCGCAGAAUAAGCACCGGCUAACUCUGUGCCAGCAGCCGCGGUAAUACAGAGGGUGCGAGCGUUAAUCGGAUUUACUGGGCGUAAAGCGUGCGUAGGCGGCUUCUUAAGUCGGAUGUGAAAUCCCUGAGCUUAACUUAGGAAUUGCAUUCGAUACUGGGAAGCUAGAGUAUGGGAGAGGAUGGUAGAAUUCCAGGUGUAGCGGUGAAAUGCGUAGAGAUCUGGAGGAAUACCGAUGGCGAAGGCAGCCAUCUGGCCUAAUACUAACGCUGAGGUACGAAAGCAUGGGGAGCAAACAGG
This 430-nucleotide ribosomal RNA is filed under the name bacterium. RNAcentral describes it as "partial 16S ribosomal RNA". It matches the Rfam family "Bacterial small subunit ribosomal RNA", at positions 355 to 776 of the family's 1533-position model. The record is from RNAcentral.